CUUGAGUUAUCUCUCAUGUCUAGACCAUUUGUGAGAAGGGAGUUUUUGUUUGCACCAAUACCCACCAAUCUCUAAAUUUAUAAGAAGUAUUAUGCUCAAUUAAGGAAAAUAGCUAGUUCAACAUACCACACUAGCCUUUUGAAAACUAUCCUAUAUGUUAGAUGCUAGCAUAGCGUAAUUUUGUGUUCUCAUGGUGCAGCAGGGUUAGUUUCUUGUGUACCUCUAGAUAUAUAUUCUCUUGCUGCGUAGGGUUCCCAAGCUGCCAAAAACUUUUUAAAAUUAGUGAUCUGUUCCCCAAACCCCCAUCCAAUAAGCAAGGUCUACCUGUAGCUGACACCUAUUAGAGCUGUGCUCGCGUCUUGGUUUUACUGUUUUAGUUACCCCAUGAAAAGCUGAUCCUUCAGAAGUUAGGGUAUAGAAGUAAGUCGAUUAAGUUCAUUCAUGACUUUUCCAGAUAUUGCAUACAUAACUUUUUCAUUUGUAUUCUUACUAGUCCAAGCCGAUUCUCGAAAUCAUUUACACCUUGGUCAUGGUAGCUAAGAAUUUUUACUUUACACUAGCUUUCCUAAUAAAUAAAAAUGGGGAGUGGGGAGGUGUUUGGUUAUAUUCCCUUCUCAUCGAUGGUCUAGAUGUGCGAGGUGACUCUCAUGGAGG
Arabidopsis thaliana x Arabidopsis arenosa is the source of this 654-nucleotide non-coding RNA. The record is from the annotation of a GenBank genome assembly. NCBI's taxonomy places the organism in Eukaryota, Viridiplantae, Streptophyta, Magnoliopsida, Brassicales, Brassicaceae.